RNAcentral lists this ribosomal RNA (301 nucleotides) under uncultured bacterium. Its description in RNAcentral is "partial 16S ribosomal RNA". It matches the Rfam family "Bacterial small subunit ribosomal RNA", at positions 509 to 809 of the family's 1533-position model. The record is from RNAcentral.
CAGUAGCCGCGGGAAUACAGAGGGUGCGAGCGUUAAUCGGAUUUACUGGGCGUAAAGCGUGCGUAGGCGGCUUUUUAAGUCGGAUGUGAAAUCCCUGAGCUUAACUUAGGAAUUGCAUUCGAUACUGGUUAGCUAGAGUGUGGGAGAGGAUGGUAGAAUUCCAGGUGUAGCGGUGAAAUGCGUAGAGAUCUGGAGGAAUACCGAUGGCGAAGGCAGCCAUCUGGCCUAACACUGACGCUGAGGUACGAAAGCAUGGGGAGCAAACAGGAUUAGAUACCCCCGUAGUCCCUGUCUCUUAUAA